AUUGAACGCUGGCGGCAGGCCUAACACAUGCAAGUCGAGCGGAUGAAGGGAGCUUGCUCCUGGAUUCAGCGGCGGACGGGUGAGUAAUGCCUAGGAAUCUGCCUGGUAGUGGGGGAUAACGUCCGGAAACGGGCGCUAAUACCGCAUACGUCCUGAGGGAGAAAGUGGGGGAUCUUCGGACCUCACGCUAUCAGAUAAGCCUAGGUCGGAUUAGCUAGUUGGUGGGGUAAAGGCCUACCAAGGCGACGAUCCGUAACUGGUCUGAGAGGAUGAUCAGUCACACUGGAACUGAGACACGGUCCAGACUCCUACGGGAGUCAGCAGUGGGGAAUAUUGGACAAUGGGCGAAAGCCUGAUCCAGCCAUGCCGCGUGUGUGAAGAAGGUCUUCGGAUUGUAAAGCACUUUAAGUUGGGAGGAAGGGCAGUAAGUUAAUACCUUGCUGUUUUGACGUUACCAACAGAAUAAGCACCGGCUAACUUCGUG
This 484-nucleotide ribosomal RNA is filed under the name uncultured bacterium. RNAcentral's name for it is "partial 16S ribosomal RNA". It matches the Rfam family "Bacterial small subunit ribosomal RNA", at positions 30 to 507 of the family's 1533-position model. The record is from RNAcentral.